ACGCUCGACACCUACUGGAGGCAGCAGUAGGGAAUCUUCCACAAUGGGCGCAAGCCUGAUGGAGCAACACCGCGUGAGUGAAGAAGGGUUUCGGCUCGUAAAGCUCUGUUGUUGGAGAAGAACGUGCGUGAGAGUAACUGUUCACGCAGUGACGGUAUCCAACCAGAAAGUCACGGCUAACUACGUACACGCAGCCGCGGUAAUCUGAGCGGGCUGGCAAGGC
RNAcentral lists this ribosomal RNA (223 nucleotides) under uncultured bacterium. Its description in RNAcentral is "partial 16S ribosomal RNA". It matches the Rfam family "Bacterial small subunit ribosomal RNA", at positions 328 to 539 of the family's 1533-position model. The record is from RNAcentral.